This 1187-nucleotide ribosomal RNA is filed under the name Klebsiella pneumoniae. RNAcentral's name for it is "bacterial SSU rRNA". It matches the Rfam family "Bacterial small subunit ribosomal RNA", at positions 39 to 1212 of the family's 1533-position model. Lineage: Bacteria; Pseudomonadati; Pseudomonadota; Gammaproteobacteria; Enterobacterales; Enterobacteriaceae. The record is from RNAcentral.
UCGGCGGCCUAACACAUGCAAGUCGAGCGGUAGCACAGAGAGCUUGCUCUCGGGUGACGAGCGGCGGACGGGUGAGUAAUGUCUGGGAAACUGCCUGAUGGAGGGGGAUAACUACUGGAAACGGUAGCUAAUACCGCAUAACGUCGCAAGACCAAAGUGGGGGACCUUCGGGCCUCAUGCCAUCAGAUGUGCCCAGAUGGGAUUAGCUAGUAGGUGGGGUAACGGCUCACCUAGGCGACGAUCCCUAGCUGGUCUGAGAGGAUGACCAGCCACACUGGAACUGAGACACGGUCCAGACUCCUACGGGAGGCAGCAGUGGGGAAUAUUGCACAAUGGGCGCAAGCCUGAUGCAGCCAUGCCGCGUGUGUGAAGAAGGCCUUCGGGUUGUAAAGCACUUUCAGCGGGGAGGAAGGCGUUGAGGUUAAUAACCUUGGCGAUUGACGUUACCCGCAGAAGAAGCACCGGCUAACUCCGUGCCAGCAGCCGCGGUAAUACGGAGGGUGCAAGCGUUAAUCGGAAUUACUGGGCGUAAAGCGCACGCAGGCGGUCUGUCAAGUCGGAUGUGAAAUCCCCGGGCUCAACCUGGGAACUGCAUUCGAAACUGGCAGGCUAGAGUCUUGUAGAGGGGGGUAGAAUUCCAGGUGUAGCGGUGAAAUGCGUAGAGAUCUGGAGGAAUACCGGUGGCGAAGGCGGCCCCCUGGACAAAGACUGACGCUCAGGUGCGAAAGCGUGGGGAGCAAACAGGAUUAGAUACCCUGGUAGUCCACGCCGUAAACGAUGUCGAUUUGGAGGUUGUGCCCUUGAGGCGUGGCUUCCGGAGCUAACGCGUUAAAUCGACCGCCUGGGGAGUACGGCCGCAAGGUUAAAACUCAAAUGAAUUGACGGGGGCCCGCACAAGCGGUGGAGCAUGUGGUUUAAUUCGAUGCAACGCGAAGAACCUUACCUGGUCUUGACAUCCACAGAACUUAGCAGAGAUGCUUUGGUGCCUUCGGGAACUGUGAGACAGGUGCUGCAUGGCCUGUCGUCAGCUCGUCGCUUGUUGAAAUGUUGGGUUAGUCCCGACAGCCAGCGCACCAUCAUCCCUUGUGGCCAGUCCGUCUAGCCGGGACUCGAAGUAGUACUGCAAGUGCAUCACUGAGUAAGCUGGGGAAUGGACGUUCCAGGUCAUCAGUGGUCCUUGUACCAGA